GUGCUUGCUACUCAGCCGGAUGGUCCAAGUUUGAUCACUGAGACCCACAACGCAGAAGGAUAGAAUUCACUCGUAACAGUUGUCUUCUGACCUCCACAGUGCAUGGCAGCAUGUGCCUCCUGCCAACAAUGAAAGAAUAAAUGAUUGUGCUUAUUGUAAAAGACGAAAGAAGAGAGAAGAAGGAAGCACUGUCUAGGCAAAGGAGAAAACAACCUUAAAAAAAAAGAAAAGAGAGAGAAAGAAAGGAAGGAAGGAAGGAAGGAAGGAAGGAAGGAAG
This 277-nucleotide long non-coding RNA is filed under the name Mus spicilegus (steppe mouse). Its description in RNAcentral is "lncRNA (ENSMSIG00000003592.1)". The record is from RNAcentral. Lineage: Eukaryota; Metazoa; Chordata; Mammalia; Rodentia; Muridae.